GACGAACGCUGGCGGCGUGCUUAACACAUGCAAGUCGAACGGUGAAGCGCCUUCCUUUUUGGUGGGUGUGGAUGAGUGGCGAACGGGUGAGUAACACGUGAGUAACCUGCCCCCUUCUUCUGGAUAACCGCAUGAAAGUGUGGCUAAUACGGGAUCUUCUGGGUCUGUCGCAUGAUGGGUCUGGGAAAGAUAUUGUUUCGGUGGGGGAUGGGGUCGGGGCCUAUCAGCUUGUUGGUGGGGUGAUGGCCUAUCAAGGCGGGGGCGGGUAGCCGGGCUGGGGGGGUGGACGGUCACAGAGGGAGUGAGGCACGGCCGGGACUCCUACGGGGGGCAGCAGUGGGGAAGAUGGCACAAUGGGCGCAAGCCUGAUGCGGCGAGGACGCGUGAGGGAUGGAGGCCUUCGGGUUGUGAACCUCUUUCGCCAGUGAAGCAGGCCUGCCUCGUUUGUGGGUGGGUUGACGGUAGCUGGAUAAGAAGCGCCGGCUAACUACGUG
Molecule: ribosomal RNA, 494 nt
Filed under: uncultured bacterium
Lineage: Bacteria
Description: partial 16S ribosomal RNA
Rfam family: Bacterial small subunit ribosomal RNA
Source: RNAcentral